GAUGAAGAACGCAGCGAAAUGCGAUAAGUAAUGUGAAUUGCAGAAUUUUGUGAAUCAUCGAAUCUUUGAACGCACAUUGCACCUUUUGGUAUUCCGAAAGGUAUGCUUGUUCGAGCGUCGUUUAACUAAUAUCAAUUUAAUUAUUGAUGUAUUGAGGGACUUUUCAUUUUUUUUUAAAUAAAAAAGCCUUCCAAAAAUAUUGAGCGAUCUUGAUUGAUUUAUUUGACGCAUUAAAUAUUUACUCGUUGAGAAAAUUCAAUCAGGAGCAGCCAACAGCAAAACAAUUAUUAUUUUAAUUAUCGACCUCGAAUCAAGUAGGAUUACCCGCUGAACUUAAGCAUAUCAAUAAGCGGAGGA
This 357-nucleotide unclassified non-coding RNA is filed under the name soil metagenome. RNAcentral describes it as "partial contains 5.8S ribosomal RNA, internal transcribed spacer 2, and large subunit ribosomal RNA". The stretch from base 1 to 120 matches the Rfam family "5.8S ribosomal RNA", at positions 35 to 154 of the family's 154-position model. The record is from RNAcentral.